RNAcentral lists this small RNA (3633 nucleotides) under Pongo abelii (Sumatran orangutan). Its description in RNAcentral is "retained intron". Lineage: Eukaryota; Metazoa; Chordata; Mammalia; Primates; Hominidae. The record is from RNAcentral.
AAUAAUACCAUAUUGACAGUUUCACCGUUUAGAACUGCUAUUUUUUGUUUUAAUGUUCGGCUUUAGAUUCAUGGACCACAAAUUGAACUGAGUGCCAAGGAAAGUUUGAGGUAGUGCUAUGUUCUCUGGUUUGGCUGCAGCCUCACUUCUCUGUCUUUCCUUCUAUUUAAGUGAUUCAAACAUUUGUUUCCUGCCUGCCUUUUGAGAAAAUUUGAGUUUGUGAACCCUGCUACAUGAGAAUUCCUAGCCCAAAUACCUUGGAUAUUGUUAGUACCUUCGAUAGAGGUAGAAAAAAAUCCAUUUAAUAUGAUAAGUUUGGUUUUACACAUGUUCAGUUAGAAAUGACAAAGUGUCUUGAAAAGGGGAUCUGGUCCUUGAAAAUUAGAGUGCACGAAUGUGAAAGCAGGUCAUGUAAUGGAAUUCAAGACUAGACCUUAGAUGUAAAAAGGGAAUAUGUAUUUAUAUUUGAAAAUUAGCAAUAAUGAGAUAGUAGGUAAAUCCACAAGAGUGGAAUUAUUCAUUCAACAGUAAUGUAUUAAUAAUAUGUUGAGCAUCUAUUAUGAGCCAGACAUGGACGUGCUGAAGGUAUAGUGGAGAACAAGACAGGUAAGCCCUCAGCUCUCAUGAAGUUGACCAUUGAAUGGCUGAAUACAGAGUGUACUCUCCCAGAAAUAGUAGAAAGCAUAAAAUAAUAAACAUCCAUGACUUGAGAUUUGGGAAACAUUGUCAGUUAAGAAGGUCAAAAAGUUUCACAUGUGUUUUAAAGAUAAACCAGUGUGAAAGUCAACUUAGUAAAAUCAAAAUGUCUGACCUGGGAGCCCAAAGUCCUGGGUUUCUAUCUCAGUUUUACAAUCAGUCAUACCACCAUAGACAAGACACAGCCCCUCUAAGUUUCACUGUUGAUAAAGCAAGCAAGUUGAUUGAGAUUGAUGGUUUUCAAACUACACAUCAUCAUGAUCCACUGAAAGCAAUUUAAAGUUUCACAGUCUAGCAUUUGUUAUUUAAAGAAAAAUGAAAUAAACAGAAUAGCAAAUAUUAACAUAUUGUUCACAGGAUGUUGCUUUGUGAAACUUUUCCAUUUUAUACAUCUGUGUGCAUAUGUGGCUGUGUGUAUCUAGUUGUGGUACCUUUUUUUUUUCCCUUUGAGAGAUACCAUCUCCCUUUGUUGCCCAAGCUGGAGUGCAAUGGUAUGAUCAUAGCUUUCUGCAGCUUCACCUGGGCUCAAGCUAUCUUCCCACCUCAGCCUCCUUAGUAGCUGGGACUAUAGGUGGUGUCACCACACUUGGCUUAUAUUUAAUUUUUUUUUAAAUGUAGAGGCUGGUCUCAAACUCCUGACCUCAAGUGAUCCUCCUUCCUAGGCCUCCCAAAACACUGGGAUUAUAGGCGUGAGCCACCAUGCCCAACCUGUUAUUUGCUUUGGUUUGUCCUAGUGGAACAUUUAGAAACACUGGAUUAAAAGACCUAUAAAGUCUUACUCAGAUCAUUGCUUAUAUGAUUUUUGUAAUUAUAUAAGCAGAUUAGGGUUAAGAAAACAUUUAAAAUGUCUUUUACUCUUUAAAACCAUAGUUUUUUAAUUGGAAAGUUAAAGAUUAUAUAUGGAUCUUUGAAAAACGGGAAACUGGAUGGGAAAGGAAAAAUUACUUAAAAUUUUAUUCAUCUUUCGAAAAUAUAAGUGACAGGAAUAGCUUCAAAGAGGUUUUCAGAAUAAGAGAGUCUUAUGUAAUACCAAAGUAUUACACAGAUUAUGAAAAUAAUAGUUUUUGUUCUCGAGUUACUCAGUAAAUAUGUGAGCUUAGAUGAUUUCUGAGGAUGUUAAUACUCUACCUCAUAAAUAGGAGAAAAUGCUUGUUUUGGUGGCCAAAGUUUUAGAAAAUUUGGGAUAUUACACAAAUUAAGGCAUUACCACUCUUAGUUUACCUUUUAUUGAUGGUUGUAUGUGUUCCUCUUUAACUUUUCACUUUUAAAAGUGAUGAUAAAAUGUGUUUUAUUACUCCAAUUUGAUUAUUUUUGCAUAUGUAAAUUAAUCUGUUUUAGUGAAAUGAUAUGAGUAUUUACAAACUGAAUCUAAGUUUCAUUUCACAUCACAUGAAUGGCUCAAACAUAUUUUUAAGGUAUGUGAUAGUGGAAUGUGAAGAUCAAGAUACUCAGCAGAGAGAUCCAAAGACCCAUGAGAUGUACUUGAAUGUAAUGAGAAGAUUCAGCCAAGCAUUGUUGAAGGGUGAUAAGUCUGUCAGAGUUAUGCGUUCUUUGCUGGCUGCACAACAGACAUUUGUAGAUCGGUUGGUGCAUCUAAUGAAGGCAGUACAACGCGAAAGUGGAAAUCGUAAGAAAAAGAAUGAGAGACUACAGGCAUUGCUUGGAGAUAAUGAAAAGAUGAAUUUGUCAGAUGUGGAACUUAUCCCGUUGCCUUUAGAACCCCAAGUGAAAAUUAGAGGAAUAAUUCCGGAAACAGCUACACUUUUUAAAAGUGCCCUUAUGCCUGCACAAUUGUUUUUUAAGACAGAAGAUGGAGGCAAAUAUCCGGUUAUAUUUAAGCAUGGAGAUGAUUUACGUCAAGAUCAACUUAUUCUUCAAAUCAUUUCACUCAUGGACAAGCUGUUACGGAAAGAAAAUCUGGACUUGAAAUUGACACCUUAUAAGGUGUUAGCUACCAGUACAAAACAUGGCUUCAUGCAGUUUAUCCAGUCAGUUCCUGUGGCUGAAGUUCUUGAUACAGAGGGAAGCAUUCAGAACUUUUUUAGAAAAUAUGCACCAAGUGAGAAUGGGCCAAAUGGGAUUAGUGCUGAGGUCAUGGACACUUACGUUAAAAGCUGUGCUGGAUAUUGCGUGAUCACCUAUAUACUUGGAGUUGGAGACAGGCACCUGGAUAACCUUUUGCUAACAAAAACAGGCAAACUCUUCCACAUAGACUUUGGAUAUAUUUUGGGUCGGGAUCCGAAGCCUCUUCCUCCACCAAUGAAGCUGAAUAAAGAAAUGGUAGAAGGAAUGGGGGGCACACAGAGUGAGCAGUACCAAGAGUUCCGUAAACAGUGUUACACGGCUUUCCUCCACCUGCGAAGGUAUUCUAAUCUGAUUUUGAACUUGUUUUCCUUGAUGGUUGAUGCAAACAUUCCAGAUAUUGCACUUGAACCAGAUAAAACUGUGAAAAAGGUUCAGGAUAAAUUCCGUUUAGACCUGUCAGAUGAAGAGGCUGUGCAUUACAUGCAGAGUCUGAUUGAUGAGAGUGUCCAUGCUCUUUUUGCUGCAGUGGUGGAACAGAUUCACAAGUUUGCCCAGUACUGGAGAAAAUGAAACUGGAAUUGACCCAUCAAGAUGCUUGGCUCAAUAAGAAAACCACGUUAGGAACAACGUGUGUACAUUGGAGACUUCAGAGUAACCAGCAAGGAAGAGAAAACUUAAUCUUCAAGUUACCAUAUUUUCCAAAUAUUACAUGGUACCUGAGUUCUGCUUCCUUGGAUGUCAUUGCUUAAAUAUAGUCUUGAAGGGUUUGUUUCGAAAUAUUGUAUAUAUUUUUUCAAAUGUGUACAUUGUUAAUAAAUUAAGAAAUGAGAAACAUUCUUAUUUAUGUACGUGUUAGGAGAGUUCUGGAGGAAGUAAUAUGUUGAAAUAGUAAAACAUUUUAGUUUUUGAGUU